UCCAUAUCAUGAUAAAACACUGGUUUCCGUAUGAUCACUGAAGUUAAGCGACAUUGAACCUGGCCAGUACACAGUUGGGUGACCAGUUGGGAAUACUAGAUGCUAU
This is a non-coding RNA of Acanthosepion pharaonis, 106 nucleotides long. Lineage: Eukaryota; Metazoa; Mollusca; Cephalopoda; Sepiida; Sepiidae. The record is from the annotation of a GenBank genome assembly.